CAAUUUAACAUAAUAUUAAAACUUCCUCGUCACAUUCAAGCAGUAAAUGUUAAACGGAAUGUGAAAUGAAUUUCAGUAUUUUUGUUAUAUUUUGUGUGGUUAUAGCAGUCAAGGCAUGGACAUGUUUAUCACCAAUAAGGAAAGUAUACAGUCGUGUCAACACUGAUGCUGUCCUUCAAUUCUCUGCUGACCUAACAAAUCUGAUUUCACCAAGAAUGUUUGAGGUCAGGUUUUUUGACGGUAGUGCUAAGGCUAGAAUAAUAUACUAUCCAGACAGGAGUCCUACAACUGAUGUAUAACGAGGUCUCAAUACAACUGGUGAUACAGAUGGUAAUGUAGUUGUUACACUACCUAAUAUUCAACAGAAUGAUACAGGCGUUUAUAUAUUGAUUAGUGCUGGAUUUACUCCAAAUUGCAACUGUUUAUACAUGUUAGGUUUCCCAAGGAGGCCAACACUGUCAGGGAAUAAAACAACAUAUGUAGGAAAAGGUGCAAUAUUAACAUGUAGUAGCACAUCAACUACUAUACCCAACAACCACAGCCUCAGUUUGAAAUACUCAUGGAGAGUUAACAACAUAGAUAACCCGGCUAGUACGAAAUACUCAUACACGCCUAGUAAGGAUAAACUAAUUGUAUCAAACAUUUUGAAGGAAGAUGCAAAUCAACAGUUUUCAUGUUCAGCUACAGAAGAUGACACUGAUGGAUACACAUCAAACAGCAGUGAACUAUU
Molecule: long non-coding RNA, 730 nt
Organism: Ruditapes philippinarum (Manila clam)
Lineage: Eukaryota; Metazoa; Mollusca; Bivalvia; Venerida; Veneridae
Exons: 3
Source: RefSeq, a predicted model, not a curated record